Molecule: non-coding RNA, 69 nt
Organism: Podarcis lilfordi (Lilford's wall lizard)
Lineage: Eukaryota; Metazoa; Chordata; Lepidosauria; Squamata; Lacertidae
Source: the annotation of a GenBank genome assembly
GCUGUAGCUCAUUGGUAGAGCAUCUGCUUUGCAUACAGAAGAUUCCCAGUUCAAUCUCUAGCAUCUGCA